ACUUAAGUAGUUUAAACAAAAUGCUGGUUUGUGGGGCCAGAGAUAUAAUUAAUUUAUCUUGGGUA
RNAcentral lists this transfer RNA (65 nucleotides) under Atya gabonensis. RNAcentral describes it as "tRNA-His". The record is from RNAcentral. Lineage: Eukaryota; Metazoa; Arthropoda; Malacostraca; Decapoda; Atyidae.